Molecule: ribosomal RNA, 790 nt
Filed under: Neopestalotiopsis steyaertii
Lineage: Eukaryota; Fungi; Ascomycota; Sordariomycetes; Amphisphaeriales; Sporocadaceae
Description: LSU rRNA
Rfam family: Eukaryotic large subunit ribosomal RNA
Source: RNAcentral
CUCAAAUUUGAAAUCUGGCCCUCGGGUCCGAAUUGUAAUUUGUAGAGGAUGAUUUUGGUGCGGUAUCUUCCGAGUUCCUUGGAACAGGACGCCUUAGAGGGUGAGAGCCCCGUACGGUUGAAUGCCUAGCCUCUGUAAAUCUCCUUCGACGAGUCGAGUAGUUUGGGAAUGCUGCUCUAAAUGGGAGGUAAAUUUCUUCUAAAGCUAAAUAUUGGCCAGAGACCGAUAGCGCACAAGUAGAGUGAUCGAAAGAUGAAAAGCACUUUGAAAAGAGGGUUAAAUAGCACGUGAAAUUGUUGAAAGGGAAGGAUUUGUGACCAGACUUUUUCUGGGCGGAUCAUCCGGGGUUCUCUCCGGUGCACUUCGCCCAGUAAAGGCCAGCAUCGGUUUUCGGCGUGGGAUAAAAGCAGUAGGAAUGUGGCUCUCUACGGGGAGUGUUAUAGCCUAUUGUAUAAUACCGCGCUGGGGACCGAGGUUCGCGCUUCUGCAAGGAUGCUGGCGUAAUGGUUAUCAAUCACCCGUCUUGAAACACGGACCAAGGAGUCGAACAUUUGUGCGAGUGUUUGGGUGUUAAACCCUCACGCGUAAUGAAAGUGAACGGAGGUGAGAGCCCUUACGGGUGCAUCAUCGACCGAUCCUGAAGUUUUCGGAUGGAUUUGAGUAAGAGGAUAACUGUUCGGACCCGAAAGAUGGUGAACUAUGCGUGGAUAGGGUGAAGCCAGAGGAAACUCUGGUGGAGGCUCGCAGCGGUUCUGACGUGCAAAUCGAUCGUCAAAUCUGCGCAUGGGGG